GACGAACGCUGGCGGCGUGCUUAAUACAUGCAAGUCAACUGAGCUUAAGGUAGCAAUAUCUUAAGUGCGGUGGCGCACGGGUGAGUAACACGUAGGUAAUCUGCCUUUAGGUCUGACAUAAUUCCGCGAAAGCGGGACUAAUUUCAGAUGAUGCAGCGGCUCGACAUCGAGACAGUUGUUAAAUCUUCGGAGCCUAAAGAUGAGCCUGCGUCUGAUUAGGUAGUUGGCGGAGUAAAAGCCCACCAAGCCUGCGAUCAGUAGCUGGUCUGAGAGGAUGAUCAGCCACACUGGAACUGAGACACGGUCCAGACUCCUACGGGAGGCAGCAGUGGGGAAUCUUAGACAAUGGGCGCAAGCCUGAUCUAGCCAUGCCGCGUGAGCGAUGAAGGCCUUAGGGUUGUAAAGCUCUUUCAGUGGGGAAGAUAAUGACUGUACCCACAGAAGAAGCCCC
RNAcentral lists this ribosomal RNA (451 nucleotides) under uncultured bacterium. Its description in RNAcentral is "bacterial SSU rRNA". It matches the Rfam family "Bacterial small subunit ribosomal RNA", at positions 28 to 494 of the family's 1533-position model. The record is from RNAcentral.